This 368-nucleotide ribosomal RNA is filed under the name Cryptocercus relictus (relict cockroach). RNAcentral describes it as "partial 16S ribosomal RNA". Lineage: Eukaryota; Metazoa; Arthropoda; Insecta; Blattodea; Cryptocercidae. The record is from RNAcentral.
CUCUUCUUGAAUAUAUUUUGAUGUAUGGCCUGCCCACUGAAUAUUGAAGGGCCGCGGUAUUUUGACCGUGCAAAGGUAGCAUAAUCAUUAGUCUUUUAAUUGUAGGCUGGAAUGAAUGGUUUGACGAGGUGUUAACUGUCUUUAUUUUUUUUUUGAACUUAAAUUUUAGGUUAAAAUGCCUAAAUGUUUUUUUGGGACGAGAAGACCCUAUAGAGUUUUAUAUAUUUUUAUUUUUUUUGUAUGAAAAUUUCUAAUGUAAAAAUUUAUUUUGUUGGGGUGAUGGAAAGAUUUAAUUAACUCUUUUUAUUUAUUUUAUAUUUAUUUAUAUGUAUUUGAUCCAUUUAUAUUGAUUAUAAGACUAAAUUACC